RNAcentral lists this long non-coding RNA (1005 nucleotides) under Cyanistes caeruleus (blue tit). Its description in RNAcentral is "lncRNA (ENSCCEG00000001040.1)". The record is from RNAcentral. Lineage: Eukaryota; Metazoa; Chordata; Aves; Passeriformes; Paridae.
AUGGGCUGCAUGGAUUUCUGCUCCACUGUGCUCUUUACCAUGGCCUGCAGGGGAAUAUUUGUGCCAGUAUUUGCAGCAUCUUCUGCCCCUCCUGCUCCACUGACCUUGGUGCUCACACUGACACUUUUCACAGCUCAGUCGUGCCCUGUGGCAGCUGGUUGGAUCUGGUUGGAACCGGCUGUGCCUGGCUGGAACUGGCUGUGCCUGGUUGGAACCGGCUCUGUCUGGUUGGAACCGGCUCUGUCUGGUUGGAACUGGCUGUGUCUAGUUGGAACUGGCUGUGCCUGGCUGGAACUGGCUGUGCCUGGUUGGAACCGGCUCUGUCUGGUUGGAACUGGCUGUGCCUGGCUGGAACCGGCUGUGCCUGGAUGGAACCGGCUGUGCCUGGCUGGAACCGGCUGUGUCUGGUUGGAACCGGCUGUGCCUGGCUGGAACCGGCUGUGUCCGGCUGGAACCGGCUGUGUCCGGCUGGAACCGGCUGUGUCCGGCUGGAACCGGCUGUGUCUGGUUGGAACCAGCUGUGUCUGGCUGGAACCGGCUGUGCCUGGCUGGAACCGGCUGUGUCCGGCUGGAACCGGCUGUGUCCGGCUGGAACCGGCUGUGUCCGGUUGGAACCAGCUGUGUCUGGCUGGAACCGGCUGUGCCUGGCUGGAACCGGCUGUGUCUGGCUGGAACCGGCUGUGCCUGGCUGGAACCGGCUGUGUAUGGCUGGAACCGGCUGUGUAUGGCUGGAACCAUCUGUGUCUGGCUGGAACCGGCUGUGUCCGGCUGGAACCGGCUGUGUAUGGCUGGAACCGGCUGUGUCUCUCUGGGGCUGCCCCUGCAUCCCCUCACAGAGCCCCUGCAGCCUCCCCUGCUGAGUCCUUAGAGCCCACCCUCAAUACAAAGCUCAGCAAACAACUUGCAUUUUUUGUCAGAGGCCUAAGAAAUAAUAAUUUAAACACACCUCAAUUUACUUUUUUCAGUAGAGUUCCAGCAGUUUAUUUCAAUCCCAGUGUCUCUUGA